CCUUACGGCCAGGGCUACACACGUGCUACAAUGGCGCGUACAGAGGGCUGCAAGCUAGCGAUAGUGAGCGAAUCCCAAAAAGCGCGUCGUAGUCCGGAUUGGAGUCUGCAACUCGACUCCAUGAAGUCGGAAUCGCUAGUAAUCGCGAAUCAGAAUGUCGCGGUGAAUACGUUCCCGGGCCUUGUACACACCGCCCGUCACACCAUGGGAGUGGGUUGCACCAGAAGUAGAUAGCUUAACCUUCGGGAGGGCGUUUACCACGGUGUGAUUCAUGACUGGGGUGAAGUCGUAACAAGGUAACCCUAGGGGAACCUGGGGUUGGAUCACCUCCUUA
This 334-nucleotide ribosomal RNA is filed under the name Aeromonas sp. MaB10011B. RNAcentral's name for it is "bacterial SSU rRNA". It matches the Rfam family "Bacterial small subunit ribosomal RNA", at positions 1200 to 1533 of the family's 1533-position model. The record is from RNAcentral. Lineage: Bacteria; Pseudomonadati; Pseudomonadota; Gammaproteobacteria; Aeromonadales; Aeromonadaceae.